RNAcentral lists this non-coding RNA (21 nucleotides) under Caenorhabditis elegans. The record is from RNAcentral. Lineage: Eukaryota; Metazoa; Nematoda; Chromadorea; Rhabditida; Rhabditidae.
UACUGAUUCUUCAUUGGACUG